GAUGUAACGCCUGGGCGGCGUGCUUAAUACAUGCAAGUCGAGCGAAGGCGCUUUAACGGAAGUUCUUUGGAAGGAAGAUAAAGUGACUGAGCGGCGGACGGGUGAGUAACGCGUGGGUAACCUGCCUUAUACAGGGGGAUAACAGUUAGAAAUGACUGCUAAUACCGCAUAAGCGCACAGGACCGCAUGGUCUGGUGUGAAAAACUCCGGUGGUAUAAGAUGGACCCGCGUCUGAUUAGCUAGUUGGUGGGGUAACGGCCCACCAAGGCAACGAUACAUAGGGGGACUGAGAGGUUAACCCCCCACAUUGGUACUGAGACACGGACCAA
This 329-nucleotide ribosomal RNA is filed under the name uncultured bacterium. RNAcentral describes it as "bacterial SSU rRNA". It matches the Rfam family "Bacterial small subunit ribosomal RNA", at positions 38 to 334 of the family's 1533-position model. The record is from RNAcentral.